CACAAUAUUACACAACAAUCUUCGAUCUCCUCAACACCCUCCUCGGUCGCCUCUCACAAUCGCCGACUUAAAUUAGGGGCUCUCUUGCGGAUUCAAUCGGCCCUAAUCGCUCGUGAUGACGUUCGUGACGACGGAUGGCUCGAAUCGGUCGUUGGCUCACCGAGGACUCGCGUUUGGAGCAGCAGCGCUCGCGAUUCGCUGACGCAGAAUCACAAGCUAUCUGCAGCUCACGCGGAGACACGUCUGGAGCUCAACGGCUUUUACUGAAUAAAUGUCACAGAUCUGGGCUCCAAAUCGGAAGAAGAAGGACUCGCACUCGGAAGACCUCGAUCAGGGAUCGCUAGCACGCAAUCAGAGCUCACGGAGGUGCUCGCUCGCGAUUCUCAGAGAUGCUCGCUCGCGACCUCAACAGUCUCACGGAGAAGCUCGCUCACGCAGACGGUGGUGUCCUUGCUCACAGUGCUCUCUCUCACGCAGACGGUGAUGUACGUGCUCGCUCUCCCGCAGUAGGAUCGAUGGGUCGUCUCUAAGAAAUGCUCGCUCGCGACCUCAACAGUCUCGCGGAGAAGCUCGCUCACGCAGACAGUGGUGCCCAUGCUCGCAGUGCUCGCUCUCCCGCAGUUCCGUGCUCGCAGUCGCUUGUAGAAGAGGGUUCCGACUCGUGUGGUUUUAG
This 673-nucleotide long non-coding RNA is filed under the name Zostera marina. RNAcentral describes it as "long non-coding RNA (ZMAR_LNC000450)". Lineage: Eukaryota; Viridiplantae; Streptophyta; Magnoliopsida; Alismatales; Zosteraceae. The record is from RNAcentral.